RNAcentral lists this ribosomal RNA (429 nucleotides) under Acidobacteriota bacterium. RNAcentral describes it as "Acidobacteria bacterium partial 16S ribosomal RNA". It matches the Rfam family "Bacterial small subunit ribosomal RNA", at positions 355 to 776 of the family's 1533-position model. The record is from RNAcentral. Lineage: Bacteria; Pseudomonadati; Acidobacteriota.
UGGGGAAUUUUGGACAAUGGGGGAAACCCUGAUCCAGCCAUCCCGCGUGUGCGAUGAAGGCCUUCGGGUUGUAAAGCACUUUUGGCAGGAAAGAAACGUCAUGGGUUAAUACCCCGUGAAACUGACGGUACCUGCAGAAUAAGCACCGGCUAACUACGUGCCAGCAGCCGCGGUAAUACGUAGGGUGCAAGCGUUAAUCGGAAUUACUGAGCGUAAAGCGUGCGCAGGCGGUUCGGAAAGAAAGAUGUGAAAUCCCAGAGCUCAACUUUGGAACUGCAUUUUUAACUACCGGGCUAGAGUGUGUCAGAGGGAGGUGGAAUUCCGCGUGUAGCAGUGAAAUGCGUAGAUAUGCGGAGGAACACCGAUGGCGAAGGCAGCCUCCUGGGAUAACACUGACGCUCAUGCACGAAAGCGUGGGGAGCAAACAGG